RNAcentral lists this small nuclear RNA (107 nucleotides) under Dasypus novemcinctus (nine-banded armadillo). The record is from RNAcentral. Lineage: Eukaryota; Metazoa; Chordata; Mammalia; Cingulata; Dasypodidae.
GUGCUCUCUGUGGCACAAUAUAUACUAAAACUGGAAUGAUACAAAGAAGAUUAGCAUAGCCCCUAUGCAAGGAUGACAUACAAAUUCAUGAAGCAGUCCAUACUUUU